GAUGAACGCUAGCGGCAGGCUUAAUACAUGCAAGUCAAGGGGGUAGCAAUACUACCGGCGCACGGGUGAGUAACACGUACAUAACAUACCAUAUACUGGGGUAUGGCUUUGGGAAACUGAAGGUAAUCCCCCAUAACAUUGCGAGAGGGCAUCUGAUUGCAAUUAAAGUUUCGGCGGUAUAUGAUUGAUGUGCGUUUGAUUAGCUUGUUGGUAGGGUAACGGCCUACCAAGGCGACGAUCAAUAGCUGGCGUGAGAGCGCGACCAGCCACACUGGAACUGAGACACGGUCCAGACUCCUACGGGAGGCAGCAGUAGGGAAUAUUGGACAAUGGGCGAAAGCCUGAUCCAGCCAUGCCGCGUGAUAGAUGAAGGCCCUCUGGGUUGUAAAUAUCUUUUAUCUGGGAAGAAACAAUCUUAUUCUUAAGAUCUUGACGGUACCAGAGGAAUAAGCACCGGCUAACUCCGUGCCAGCAGCCGCGGU
Molecule: ribosomal RNA, 482 nt
Filed under: uncultured bacterium
Lineage: Bacteria
Description: bacterial SSU rRNA
Rfam family: Bacterial small subunit ribosomal RNA
Source: RNAcentral